Molecule: long non-coding RNA, 3438 nt
Filed under: Oncorhynchus mykiss (rainbow trout)
Lineage: Eukaryota; Metazoa; Chordata; Actinopteri; Salmoniformes; Salmonidae
Description: lncRNA (ENSOMYG00000067682.1)
Source: RNAcentral
CCUACCUGGUUAAAUAAAGGUGUUCUCACCUGGCCUACCUGGUUAAAUAAAGGUGUUCUCACCUGGCCUACCUGGUUAAAUAAAGGUGUUCUCACCUGGCCUACCUGGUUAAAUAAAGGUGUUCUCACCUGGCCUACCUGGUUAAAUAAAGGUGUUCUCACCUGGCCUACCUGGUUAAAUAAAGGUGUUCUCACCUGGCCUACCUGGUUAAAUAAAGGUGUUCUCACCUGGCCUACCUGGUUAAAUAAAGGUGUUCUCACCUGGCCUACCUGGUUAAAUAAAGGUGUUCUCACCUGGCCUACCUGGUUAAAUAAAGGUGUUCUCACCUGGCCUACCUGGUUAAAUAAAGGUGUUCUCACCUGGCCUACCUGGUUAAAUAAAGGUGUUCUCACCUGGCCUACCUGGUUAAAUAAAAGGGGAAAUUUAUACAAAGAAAAGACCUCCAUACAAAAAAAAGGGGCUCAUCUCACAAGGACAGAUUUAGGGCGGAGUAGAUCCUCUCACUUCGCCUGUUCCUCUCUGUCUCUUUCCCAACUGACCGCAGAAACUUCUCCAGACAUGUAUCAGAGAAGAAGAUGCGAUGCGAGAGAUGUUACUCAGCGCAAACUCUGUCCACGAAAAUAAUCCACAAAAAAAAGGGCUUAUCUCACAAGGACAGAUUUAGGGCGGAGUAGAUCCUCUAUCCUGUUGUCAUAGAGAUGGAGGAGUCAUGGAUAUAAUCUGUUUCAGCAUGGACAUUGCUCUUGAGGCCUCCCACCAUUUUAAAGUAGUCAACUGGGUAGGGAUUCCUAUGAGUUGGGAGCGAUCAGCCAAUGAAGAAGAAAAUGUACUUCUUUAAAAAUGGAGAUAUCCUCAAUGGCACUGCCCAUGCUGUCACAGAGGCUAUAAUGGCUAGAUGGUCCCACCGGAUCUCACCUCCUCCCGCCUGCCUUCCAUCUUUGAGGCCAUGCAUUUCCAUUGUUGGAGUGGUCACUUGAGUAUCUUCUCAAUAUAAUAGACAAUCUUUGCUUGCAUGCAGGAACAUUGGUACAUGAUGGGAGGGAACCUGUCUGUCUAGGGAGACUAGUGAUGAACAAGUUGGGCCUAUUUGAAACGUCACCAACUCCUGGCAACAUUUACCAGACAAUAUAUAGAAGGAAAAACUAACUGAACAUAAUUUAUGAUGGUUUAUAUUUUAUUUUUGUUUUGGAAUCAAUGAUUAUAGUUUGAAUUUUUCAAAUUACUUUCUUAAUUAUUUUAGUUUCAGAUUUGGUAACAUAAUUACGACUUUUAAUCAUUUAAUAAUGAAUAAAUACAAAUGUAUAUCAGUAACCCACAACCAUACCCCUUUCUCCUGCACAAAUGAAAUAGCAAUUUUCUAACUCUAACUUUCUGCAAUUCAAAGAAAACAUUUUCAGUUUUACAGAUAAUUCUACUCGCGUUGCCAUGGGGACAUGUUGCCAUGGGGUGGAGGCAAAUUUGACCAGCUUUUAAUAUGUUAACUGAUGAUCAACGGGCCCCAUCCCGGUUGGUAAUUCAACCAUGCUUACUACAACUUUAGCCGCUAGACUAAUUUACCAAUCUAAAAAACAUGUAGCUAACAUUGGCUAAUAGACUGACUGCUGAUGCUCAACCACAUUUACACACUGCACUAUGUGUUUUCUAUUAUUAUACCGGUCAACAGGAAAACAAUGUUUUUUAUUAUUGGUUGCGGGCCGCCAGUUGCACAUCCCUGGUUGAGUGAAUAGACCCAUGCACUGCUUGAGUUCAUUUGAGUUGCGAUCCGUUUAUCUCGUCCGGCGCACCGGGGUUUUCAUUCUGAGAAAAGGCGUGCUGAUGAUUCAACCCGGGGUUCACAACGCGCAUAGAUGAGCCGGUGACGUAAUAUCGAGCGCAUCUGCAGUUCGUCUUUAAACUUAAUAUUUGAUAUUUGAUAUAUUUGAUUUAGCACAACAUUUAAAUAGUUUAUAUGCACAUUGUUGAACUUCACAUUUACUUGACGAGACAGACUAUUUUAUUUAAUGACAGCUUUACAUAAUUCCGAUGCACGUCUUCUUUCAGGAAGUGAAAGUAAGCCAGUUUCCAGUUCUUUUGUGCGUAUAAUAAUCACCUUACUAAUGUACUGUCAAUCGGCGAUAACAAUAAUACCAUACCUCAUAGCCCUGUAGCCUAUAUCACAUCACAUCGGAUCUUAUUGAAUAAGCUUAUCACUAUUAAUCAACACCAAUGUAAAUAAGCCUAAAAUAAUCAUUCUUGAAAGUUUAAAUCAAUAUCGUAAUAACAUGGCGGAUGUCUUAACCCCUAAAUCAUCACUCUCUCGAGUUCUACAUAAAAUUGUAAAAGAACGCUACAAACCUUUUAAACAUUCCUCUUGGUCGACAACGUUCUUCCUCCUCUUCUUCUUCUGUGGGGAUUAUGGAGGACUGCGCCCCAAAAGGUGUAUUGCCGCCACCAACUGGACGGUUUGAAAGAAAAAAUAAAAAAUAAAAUCAAUGCGUAACAGUGAAACUAACUUCAUCCACCCUAAUAAAAACAGUAUAUUGCCAAAACAAACACAACUCCCACUUCAUUCUUGUAGUUCUCCAUAUAACCCUUCUCAGGCUCUAGGACCUGAGAGGGUGGUACGGCUCUAGGACCUGAGAGGGUGGUACGGCUCUAUAAUCUGAGAGGGUGGUACGGAUCUAGGAUCUGAGAGGGUGGUAGGGCUCUAGGGUGGUACGGCUCUAGGACCUGAGAGGGUGGUACGAAUCGAGGGUGGUACGGCUCUAGGACCUGAGAGGGUGGUGCGGCUCUAGGAUCUGAGAGGGUGGUACAGCUCGAGGACCUGAGAAGGUGGUAGGGCUCUAGGACCUGAGAGGGUGGUACGGUUCUAGGACCUGAGAGGGUGGUACGGCUUGUGCCAAUAUUCCAUGUAACUCUUAUGCUGUGAAAUCUUAUUGCCCACAAUCACUAUAAUUUCUAUCUAUCUGGACAUUCUCUCCACCUUGGCAGUGCCAUUAAUUACCACAGCUAUAAAGGCCACAAAGUCCACCUUCUCUCCACCUUGGCAGUGCAUUAAUUACCACAGCUAUAAAGGCCACAAAGUCCACCUUCUCUCCACCUUGGCAGUACCCUUAAUUAUCACAGCUAUAAAGGCCACAAAGUCGUGCCAUUAAUUACCACAGCUAUAAAGGCCACAAAGUCGUGCCAAUAAUUACCACAGCUACAAAGGCCACAAAGUCGUGCAAAUAAUUACCACAGCUAUAAAGGCCACAAAGUCCACCUUCUCUCCACCUUGGCAGUGCAUUAAUUACCACAGCUAUUGGACAUUUCCACCUGACCUAAUUAAAGCGUCCCUGAGCAUGAAUUAAAGGACAAUUCCACCAACUCCUUGGGCCUUUUCUAUCAUUUUUAUUUUCCAUAAUGACAGAAGCAAAAAUCAGGUUUUUAGACAUUUUAACAUAUUAUGUUAACUACCCG